RNAcentral lists this non-coding RNA (165 nucleotides) under Brachypodium distachyon (stiff brome). RNAcentral's name for it is "Bacterial small subunit ribosomal RNA". It matches the Rfam family "Bacterial small subunit ribosomal RNA", at positions 1043 to 1196 of the family's 1533-position model. Lineage: Eukaryota; Viridiplantae; Streptophyta; Magnoliopsida; Poales; Poaceae. The record is from Rfam by way of RNAcentral.
ACGUAGCUGCCUUCUUUUUGGGCGUGAAGCAGUGUCAAACCAAAAUACCCAAUAAGUCUCGCAACGAGUGCAACCCUCGUGUUCAGUUGCCACUAUGAGUUUGGAACCCUGAACAGACCGCCGGUGUUAAGCCGGAGGAAGGAGAGGAUGAGGCCAGGUCAUCAU